UCGGAAUUACUGGGCGUAAAGCGCGCGUAGGCGGCUUUGUAAGUCGGAUGUGAAAGCCCUGGGCUCAACCUGGGAAUGGCAUUCGAUACUGCAGAGCUAGAGUAUGGUAGAGGGAAGUGGAAUUUCCGGUGU
This 132-nucleotide ribosomal RNA is filed under the name uncultured bacterium. RNAcentral's name for it is "partial 16S ribosomal RNA". It matches the Rfam family "Bacterial small subunit ribosomal RNA", at positions 545 to 676 of the family's 1533-position model. The record is from RNAcentral.